RNAcentral lists this ribosomal RNA (379 nucleotides) under Amniculicola longissima. RNAcentral describes it as "bacterial SSU rRNA". It matches the Rfam family "Eukaryotic small subunit ribosomal RNA", at positions 22 to 377 of the family's 1831-position model. Lineage: Eukaryota; Fungi; Ascomycota; Dothideomycetes; Pleosporales; Amniculicolaceae. The record is from RNAcentral.
AGUCAUAUGCUUGUCUCAAAGAUUAAGCCAUGCGUCUAGUAUAGCAAUUAUACCGUGAAACUGCGAAUGGCUCAUUAAAUCAGUUAUCGUUUAUUUGAUAGUACCUUACUACUUGGAUAACCGUGGUAAUUCUAGAGCUAAUACAUGCUAAAAACCCCGACUUCGGAAGGGGUGUAUUUAUUAGAUAAAAAGCCAAUGCCCUCCGGGGCUCUUUGGUGAUUCAUAGUAACUUAACGGAUCGCAUGGCCUUGCGCCGGCGACGGUUCAUUCAAAUUUCUGCCCUAUCAACUUUCGAUGGUAAGGUAUUGGCUAMCAUGGUUUCAACGGGUAACGGGGAAUGGGGCGGGGGCGGCGGGCCGGGCGCGGGGCGCGGCGGGCG